This 479-nucleotide ribosomal RNA is filed under the name uncultured bacterium. Its description in RNAcentral is "bacterial SSU rRNA". It matches the Rfam family "Bacterial small subunit ribosomal RNA", at positions 29 to 507 of the family's 1533-position model. The record is from RNAcentral.
AUGAACGCUGGCGGCGUGCUUAACACAUGCAAGUCGAACGGAGCACCCUGAUUGAAGCUUCGGCAGAUUGAUGGAAUGCUUAGUGGCGGACUGGUGCGUAACACGUGAGUAACCUGCCUCGGAGUGUGGAAUAACACAGCGAAAGUUGUGCUAAUACCGCAUGAUGUAUAAGAGUCGCAUGUCUUUUAUACCAAAGAUUUAUUGCACACAGAUGGAUUCGCGUCCGAUUAGAUAGUUGGUGAGGUAACGGCCUACCAAGUCUGCGAUCGGUAGCCGGACUGAGAGGUUGAACGGCCACAUUGGAACUGAGAUACGGUCCAGACUCCUACGGGAGGCAGCAGUGGGGAAUAUUGGGCAAUGGGCGAAAGCCUGACCCAGCGACGCCGCGUGAGGGAAGAAGGUCUUCGGAUUGUAAACCUUAGUCAACAGGGAAGAAGAAAGUGACGGUACCUGUGGAGGAAGCCACGGCUAACUACGUG